UACGUAGGGUGCAAGCGUUGUCCGGAAUUAUUGGGCGUAAAGAGCUCGUAGGCGGUCUGUCGCGUCGGCUGUGAAAACCCACAGCUCAACUGUGGGCUUGCAUUCGAUACGGGCAGGCUAGAGUUCGGUAGGGGAGACUGGAAUUCCUGGUGUAGCGGUGAAAUGCGCAGAUAUCAGGAGGAACACCGGUGGCGAAGGCGGGUCUCUGGGCCGAUACUGACGCUGAGGAGCGAAAGCGUGGGGAGCGAACAGG
Molecule: ribosomal RNA, 253 nt
Filed under: uncultured bacterium
Lineage: Bacteria
Description: partial 16S ribosomal RNA
Rfam family: Bacterial small subunit ribosomal RNA
Source: RNAcentral